GUGUUAUGGAAUAGAUGGGAACACAAAAAGGAAAAGGGGUUGCACUGAGACAGGAAGGCCAACACGGAUAAUUUAUUAACAUCAUUAUUAUCUGCUCGAGGACAGAGGCAGACCCAUAUGGAUUGAACAAGGUCAGAACUAAAGACACGCACCUCACCUCACUUCAAUUGCUAAUCUGCCAAACACCCAUCCCUUCCCCCCACUUUCUCAAUCCGGAAUCACCCAUUACUAAUUUAAUUAUUAAUUAUUACUGUUAAUUACCAAUGUAACUCUUUUUUUUAUUUCCAUUUUCUAUCUUCCUUCUUUUCAGGCUAUAGCCUUUACAAUAAUUUAAAUCUCUUGGAUUGUUUUGUAAAUUGAAGAUUUCUGUCUUCAAUGAAAUACAUUUUUAUUUUAUUAUUGUUUAUCUUUUCUUCUUUUCAGUUUUCUAUCCGAUUUUGAUAUCCUCCACCAUCCAACACCCUCUCUUCUCUCCCCUUUUCUCACUGUUCUUGCCUUUCUUCGUUUUCUACCAGGAGGAAAGGGAACAUUAAAUCGAAUAAAAAGCACCCUUGUAUCCAACAUGGUCGCUUUCUUUCUCUAUUUAUUUUGACCCACUCAUACUUGAUUAUCCAAUUAGAUCGGCCGUUUUCCGUUUCAUCUGGGGGUGCGCGAAUUUCUGGGACUAAUCCAUUGCCAAUGCUGCAUUAGGGGAAUUUGUACUACAAGAUUCUUACUGGUUAUCAAGGAUUGGGUAGUGGUGCAUACCUGUUCUGUACGCCAAUUGAGAAGGUUAGGGCAUAAGAUUAAGAAGCACCUACACAUUGGCUUCUUAGUUACACAUUGACUUUAUUAAUAGAUGACCUCCCCGUGUUGAGCGCUGCUAAGUUUAGUGCCUGGCUUAUUGGUGGUUUAUUGAGGGAUUAAUUUCAUAUAUUUAAUUAAUAAGUGCGGGAAAUCAAUAGAUUCCUUCAAUGCAAGGGCAGAGAGGUACAGUUGGUCCAAUGCCAGAAGCCUUAGAAUUUGAUUGUGGCUCUACGCCAGGUAAUUCGACUGUGGAUCAGCAGAUUUGCUGGAAUAAUGUGAAUCCUGCAGAAAAUCAAAUACCUGAUUAUAUACUUUCUCCUGGUAAUAUGAACUCACCUUAUGUGAAUUCCAUUGAUCAUGAAUGGCAAAAUUUGAGUGGAUGGAGCUUAGGGGAGCCAAGU
Vigna angularis (adzuki bean) is the source of this 1187-nucleotide long non-coding RNA. RefSeq lists it as uncharacterized. NCBI's taxonomy places the organism in Eukaryota, Viridiplantae, Streptophyta, Magnoliopsida, Fabales, Fabaceae. The transcript is spliced from 3 exons. The record is from RefSeq and is a predicted model, not a curated record.